Molecule: ribosomal RNA, 497 nt
Filed under: uncultured bacterium
Lineage: Bacteria
Description: partial 16S ribosomal RNA
Rfam family: Bacterial small subunit ribosomal RNA
Source: RNAcentral
GAUGAACGCUGGCGGCGUGCCUAAUACAUGCGAGUCGAGCGAACGGACGAGAAGCUUGCUUCUCUGAUGCUAGCGGCGGACGGGUGAGUAACACGUGGGUAACCUACCUAUAAGACUGGGAUAACUUCGGGAAACCGGAGCUAAUACCGGAUAAUAUUUUGAACCGCAUGGUUCAAAAGUGAAAGACGGUCUUGCUGUCACUUAUAGAUGGAUCCGCGCUGCAUUAGCUAGUUGGUAAGGUAACGGCUUACCAAGGCAACGAUGCAUAGCCGACCUGAGAGGGUGAUCGGCCACACUGGAACUGAGACACGGUCCAGACUCCUACGGGAGGCAGCAGUAGGGAAUCUUCCGCAAUGGGCGAAAGCCUGACGGAGCAACGCCGCGUGAGUGAUGAAGGUCUUCGGAUCGUAAAACUCUGUUAUUAGGGAAGAACAUAUGUGUAAGUAACUGUGCACAUCUUGACGGUACCUAAUCAGAAAGCCACGGCUAACUACGUG